AGUGAACGCUGGCGGUAGGCCUAACACAUGCAAGUCGAACGGCAGCACAGUAAGAGCUUGCUCUUACGGGUGGCGAGUGGCGGACGGGCGAGGAAUACAUCGGAAUCUACUUUUUCGUGGGGGAUAACGUAGGGAAACUUACGCUAAUACCGCAUACGACCUACGGGUGAAAGCAGGGGAUCUUCGGACCUUGCGCGAUUGAUUGAGCCGAUGUCGGAUUAGCUAGUUGGCGGGGUAAAGGCCCACCAAGGCGACGAUCCGUAGCUGGUCUGAGAGGAUGAUCAGCCACACUGGAACUGAGACACGGUCCAGACUCCUACGGGAAGCAGCAGUGGGGAAUAUUGGACAAUGGGCGCAAGCCUGAUCCAGCCAUACCGCGUGGGUGAAGAAGGCCUUCGGGUUGUAAAGCCCUUUUGUUGGGAAAGAAAAGCAGCAGGUUAAUACCCCGCUGUUCUGACGGUACCCAAAGAAUAAGCACCGGCUAACUUCGUG
Molecule: ribosomal RNA, 492 nt
Filed under: uncultured bacterium
Lineage: Bacteria
Description: partial 16S ribosomal RNA
Rfam family: Bacterial small subunit ribosomal RNA
Source: RNAcentral